AGAGUUUGAUCCUGGCUUAGGAUGAACGCUGGCGGCGUGCCUAACACAUGCAAGUCGAGCGGAGAUACUUUAUAAGCUUGCUUAAGGAGUAUCUAGCGGCGGAUGGGUGAGGAACGCGUGGAGAACCUGCCCUUCACAGGGGGAUAACAGUUGGAAACGACUGUUAAUACCGCAUAUGCUCACAGCACCGCAUGGUGCAGGGAGGAAAGCGCUAGUGGUGAAGGAUGGCUCCGCGUCGGAUUAGCCAGUUGGCGGGGUAACGGCCCACCAAAGCGAUGAUCCGUAGCCGGCCUGAGAGGGCGACCGGCCACAUUGGGACUGAGACACGGCCCAAACUCCUACGGGAGGCAGCAGUGGGGGAUAUUGCACAAUGGGCGAAAGCCUGAUGCAGCGACGCCGCGUGAAGGAAGACGUACCUCGGUAUGUAAACUUCUAUCAGCAGGGAAGAAGAUGACGGUACCUGACUAAGAAGCCCCGGCUAACUACGUGCCAGCCGCCGC
This 500-nucleotide ribosomal RNA is filed under the name uncultured bacterium. RNAcentral describes it as "bacterial SSU rRNA". It matches the Rfam family "Bacterial small subunit ribosomal RNA", at positions 8 to 518 of the family's 1533-position model. The record is from RNAcentral.